This 484-nucleotide ribosomal RNA is filed under the name uncultured bacterium. RNAcentral describes it as "partial 16S ribosomal RNA". It matches the Rfam family "Bacterial small subunit ribosomal RNA", at positions 30 to 507 of the family's 1533-position model. The record is from RNAcentral.
AUUGAACGCUGGCGGCAGGCCUAACACAUGCAAGUCGAGCGGAUGAAGGGAGCUUGCUCCUGGAUUCAGCGGCGGACGGGUGAGUAAUGCCUAGGAAUCUGCCUGGUAGUGGGUGAUAACGUCCGGAAACGGGCGCUAAUACCGCAUACGUCCUGAGGGAGAAAGUGGGGGAUCUUCGGACCACACGCUAUCAGAUGAGCCUAGGUCGGAUUAGCUAGUUGGUGGGGUAAAGGCCUACCAAGGCGACGAUCCGUAACUGGUCUGAGAGGAUGAUCAGUCACACUGGAACUAAGACACGGUCCGGACUCCUACGGGAGGCAGCAGUGGGGAAUAUUGGGCAAUGGGCGAAAGCCUGAUCCAGCCAUGCCGCGUGUGUGAAGAAGGUCUUCGGAUUGUAAAGCACUUUAAGUUGGGAGGAAGGGCAGUAAGUUAAUACCUUGCUGUUUUGACGUUACCAACAGAAUAAGCACCGGCUAACUUCGUG